RNAcentral lists this small RNA (637 nucleotides) under Pongo abelii (Sumatran orangutan). RNAcentral describes it as "retained intron". The record is from RNAcentral. Lineage: Eukaryota; Metazoa; Chordata; Mammalia; Primates; Hominidae.
AGCAAAUUAAAAAGGAUCUGAAGAAAUACUCUAAGAUCUUUGAACAGAAGGAUCGUUUGAGUCAGUCCAAAGCCUCAAAGGAAUUGGUGGAGAGAAGGCGCACCAUGAUGGAAGAUUUCCGGAAGUACCGGAAAAUGGCCCAGGAGCUCUAUAUGGAGCAGAAAAACGAGCGCCUGGAGUUGCGAGGAGGGGUGGACACUGACGAGCUGGACAGCAACGUGGACGACUGGGAAGAGGAGACCAUUGAGUUCUUCGUCACUGAAGAAAUCAUCCCCCUCGGGAAUCAGGAGUGACCUGGAGCGCUGUGGUGAGUGUCUGCAGGGGGCGCAAUGGGGGUCCUGUUGGCUGCUCUCACGCUGCUUCGGUUAUCCCCAUCACUGAGGAAGCAUCUCCUUUAAGGCAGGGGUGAAGGAUGAAGCCCUAGUGUCGUGUGCCCAGGGUUAGCUGAACCUCGUGAAAUGUGGAGUGGGUGCUGACGUGGCCUUGACUGCUCCCUCUGACCACAUUGCAGAUGGUGCCUUUCAGGCGAUGCUGGGUGAGGGAGGAGCUGUGGCCAGGUGUUGGGAAGUGCCAGGAAGAGGAGGGUGGCCAUGCCUGGCCAUUUCCUGACGCCUGUGCUAGUGACGGCCGCGGUGUG